GACGAACGCUGGCGGCGUGCUUAACACAUGCAAGUCGAACGGAAAGGCCCUGCUUUUGUGGGGUGCUCGAGUGGCGAACGGGUGAGUAACACGUGAGUAACCUGCCCUUGACUUUGGGAUAACUUCAGGAAACUGGGGCUAAUACCGGAUAGGAGCUCCUGCUGCAUGGUGGGGGUUGGAAAGUUUCGGCGGUUGGGGAUGGACUCGCGGCUUAUCAGCUUGUUGGUGGGGUAGUGGCUUACCAAGGCUUUGACGGGUAGCCGGCCUGAGAGGGUGACCGGCCACAUUGGGACUGAGAUACGGCCCAGACUCCUACGGGAGGCAGCAGUGGGGAAUAUUGCACAAUGGGCGGAAGCCUGAUGCAGCAACGCCGCGUGCGGGAUGACGGCCUUCGGGUUGUAAACCGCUUUCGCCUGUGACGAAGCGUGAGUGACGGUAAUGGGUAAAGAAGCACCGGCUAACUACGUGCCAGCAGCCGCGGUGAUACGUAGGGUGCGAGCGUUGUCCGGAUUUAUUGGGCGUAAAGGGCUCGUAGGUGGUUGAUCGCGUCGGAAGUGUAAUCUUGGGGCUUAACCCUGAGCGUGCUUUCGAUACGGGUUGACUUGAGGAAGGUAGGGGAGAAUGGAAUUCCUGGUGGAGCGGUGGAAUGCGCAGAUAUCAGGAGGAACACCAGUGGCGAAGGCGGUUCUCUGGGCCUUUCCUGACGCUGAGGAGCGAAAGCGUGGGGAGCGAACAGGCUUAGAUACCCUGGUAGUCCACGCUGUAAACGGUGGGUACUAGGUGUGGGGUCCAUUCCACGGGUUCCGUGCCGUAGCUAACGCUUUAAGUACCCCGCCUGGGGAGUACGGCCGCAAGGCUAAAACUCAAAGGAAUUGACGGGGCCCCGCACAAGCGGCGGAGCAUGCGGAUUAAUUCGAUGCAACGCGUAGAACCUUACCUGGGUUUGACAUGGAUCGGGAGUGCUCAGAGAUGGGUGUGCCUCUUUUGGGGUCGGUUCACAGGUGGUGCAUGCCUGUCGUCAGCUCGUGUCGUGAGAUGUUGGGUUAAGUCCCGCAACGAGCGCAACCCUUGUUCACUGUUGCCAGCACGUUAUGGUGGGGACUCAGUGGAGACCGCCGGGGUCAACUCGGAGGAAGGUGGGGAUGACGUCAAGUCCUCAUGCCCCUUAUGUCCAGGGCUUCACGCAUGCUACAAUGGCUGGUACAGAGAGUGGCGAGCCUGUGAGGGUGAGCGAAUCUCGGAAAGCCGGUCUCAGUUCGGAUUGGGGUCUGCAACUCGACCUCGUGAAGUCGGAGUCGCUAGUAAUCGCAGAUCAGCAACGCUGCGGUGAAUACGUUCCCGGG
RNAcentral lists this ribosomal RNA (1343 nucleotides) under uncultured bacterium. RNAcentral describes it as "16S ribosomal RNA". It matches the Rfam family "Bacterial small subunit ribosomal RNA", at positions 28 to 1378 of the family's 1533-position model. The record is from RNAcentral.